GUGCUCGCUUCGGCAGCACAUAUACUAAAAUUGGAACGAUACAGAGAUUAGCAUGGCCCCUGCACAAUGAUGACACACAAAUUUGUGAAGUGUUCCAUAGUUUU
Molecule: small nuclear RNA, 104 nt
Organism: Sorex fumeus (smoky shrew)
Lineage: Eukaryota; Metazoa; Chordata; Mammalia; Eulipotyphla; Soricidae
Source: RefSeq, a predicted model, not a curated record